GUUUUACUGUGAAGCUCCAGAAAUGUUUCUGGACUCUGAGACUUCACCUGACUUUAUAUCAUCAGGAGGAGGAGACGAGGACUGGAGUGACUUUUAUGGGGGAACUAAUGUCGUCUCCUUUAUUGUAAACUGUUUAAAUUGACAGACUGUGUUACUGACAUCCAGUAAACACAAAGUCCAGUCCUGCCUGUUUACAGUCGCUGCAGAUGAUCAAGGAGUGGCUCCUCCUUCAGACGGCACACUUGCAUAUUUGAGCUGCCUGCUUUCUGUUCACAGCGUCACAGGUGAAGGCGUGCGGUGGAGGAACAGCUGAGCUGUGAGACGAUUUGAUCUGUCCAGUCAUGUCCUCCACCAUCCUGCUGAUCGUCCUUCUGUCUGCACACAUUACAGGUCUGAUCUCAGAGCAGCUUCUCAAAGCCACUGUUGGAGGAUCCGUCCUGUUCCCCUGUUCUCUCCCAGGAUAUCCACUCAGUCUCAACUGGUUUUACUGGCAAGAGGGCGACAAUCUUUUUUUUCGAUGGGAGAAUGGGAAGGAAAUAGAAAUAAAAGACAACAAAUACAAGGGCAGGUUCCAAGUCUUCACUCAUGAGUUUAGUUCUGGAAAUAUCUCCAUCAGACUUGACAACAUUUCUGUUGAGGAUGAUAAGAACACAUUCUUUACCUACGUUAAUUUAUAUGAUGAGCAGAAAAAAGUCACCAAACAGUCUCAAAAACAAUGCAUAUUCACGCUGCAGGUUUCAGCUCCCUACCAGGAUCUGGUCCUGACAGUUAACCACACAACCAACAGUGCAACCUGCUCAGCACGAGGAGGAUACCCUGCAGCUCAGGUAUCAUGGAAGGGUCUGAACAGAUCCAGUGAUGAACAAAUGGACCUGCAGGAUGCUGAGACGUUCCUGCAGCAGGCUCCAACAGAGAAAACCUUCUCCUUCACAAGCUCUGUCAACGUUACAGGGUUAAAGUCUGUAACCUGCAUCGUCUACAACCCUCACUCCAACAAGACCAUUAACAAAACUAUGGAGUUGGUGGAGAUCAACACUGCUGAUCCUCCUGGUGUGUGGAUCACAACGCCAACCUUCUCUACUCCUUCCCAGGAUGAAAACGGGAGGCAUCAUUUUCUAAUAAUUGCAGCUGUUGUCCUCUUCAUCAUCCUCAUCCUCAUCCUUGCUGGUUUCUGUCGGUGGUACAAAAGUCAAUGUCCAGUUCCAGGACCAGUUCUAGAACUGAACCCAGAACCAGACGUCCCUAAUCUCCAAGAUGCAGUUCAAGAAGAAGCUCCAGAUUUAAAUCCAGAUGCAGCUCGAGAACCAGUCGAUCCUAAUCCCCAAGACCCAGUUCAAGAAGAAGCUCCAGCUCCAGAUCAAGCUCCAGGUCCAGAUCAAGAUCAGGAUCCAGAUCAAGCUCCAGGUCCAGAUCAAGAUCAGGAUCCAGAUCAAGCUCCAGGUCCAGAUCAAGAUCAAGAUCAAGAUCAAGAUCAAGAUCAAGAUCCAGAUCAAGCUCCAGGUCCAGAUCAAGAUCAGGAUCCAGAUCAAGCUCCAGGUCCAGAUCAAGAUCAAGAUCAAGCUCCAGGUCCAGAUCAAGAUCAAGCUCAAGGUCCAGAUCAAGAUCAGGAUCCAGAUCAAGCUCCAGGUCCAGAUCAAGAUCAAGCUCCAGGUCCAGAUCAAGAUCAGGAUCCAGAUCAAGCUCCAGGUCCAGACCAAGAUCAGGAUCAGGAUCCAGAUCAAGCUCCAGGUCCAGAUCAAGAUCAGGAUCAGGAUCCAGAUCAAGCUCCAGCCAACCAACCACCAGCCGAACAUGAUCCCCAAGAUGGAGCUGAAGCUGAAGAUGCAGACGCAGCAGAACCUGCCCCAGACCCAGUUCAGGAGGAAGCAGCUGAUCCAUCUGAGGACACUGUUCUACUAUCUAAGGAUCGAGCUGUGUUUCACUGUCAGACAAAGACGAGUGAAGGUACUGCAGACUGCGACACCUGUGAGGACGCUGCUGCUUCACCAGAGAAAGAAAAACUGCUGGAAAAAGAAAAUGGAAAUGAAGACAGCGCCUCUGAUUGA
RNAcentral lists this long non-coding RNA (2045 nucleotides) under Sparus aurata (gilthead seabream). Its description in RNAcentral is "lncRNA (ENSSAUG00010022314.1)". Lineage: Eukaryota; Metazoa; Chordata; Actinopteri; Spariformes; Sparidae. The record is from RNAcentral.